Molecule: long non-coding RNA, 320 nt
Filed under: Homo sapiens (human)
Lineage: Eukaryota; Metazoa; Chordata; Mammalia; Primates; Hominidae
Description: non-protein coding lnc-NIPAL2-4:1
Source: RNAcentral
GGAUUGUUAUGGAGUACUGUGGCGCUGGCUCUGUCUCAGACAUAAUUAGAUUACGAAACAAGACUUAAUAGAAGAUGAAAUUGCAACCAUUCUUAAAUCUACAUUGAAAGGACUAGAAUAUUUGCACUUUAUGAGAAAAAUACACAGAGAUAUAAAAGCUGGAAAUAUUCUCCUCAAUACAGAAGGACAUGCAAAAUUGGCAGAUUUUGGAGUGGCUGGUCAGUUAACGAUACAAUGGCAAAACGCAAUACUGUAAUAGGAACUCCAUUUUGGAUGGCUCCUGAGGUGAUUCAAGAAAUAGGCUAUAACUGUGUGGCCGA